CAGCAGCCGCGGGAAUACAGAGGGUGCGAGCGUUAAUCGGAUUUACUGGGCGUAAAGCGUGCGUAGGCGGCUUUUUAAGUCGGAUGUGAAAUCCCUGAGCUUAACUUAGGAAUUGCAUUCGAUACUGGGAAGCUAGAGUAUGGGAGAGGAUGGUAGAAUUCCAGGUGUAGCGGUGAAAUGCGUAGAGAUCUGGAGGAAUACCGAUGGCGAAGGCAGCCAUCUGGCCUAAUACUGACGCUGAUGUACGAAAGCAUGGGGAGCAAACAGGAUUAGAUACCCCCGUAGUCCCUGUCUCUUAUAC
Molecule: ribosomal RNA, 301 nt
Filed under: uncultured bacterium
Lineage: Bacteria
Description: partial 16S ribosomal RNA
Rfam family: Bacterial small subunit ribosomal RNA
Source: RNAcentral